Ribosomal RNA from Notechis scutatus (mainland tiger snake), 115 nucleotides. The record is from Ensembl. Lineage: Eukaryota; Metazoa; Chordata; Lepidosauria; Squamata; Elapidae.
GUAUAUGGACACACUACCCUGAUAAUGCUUGAUCUUCUCUAAUCUUGGAAGCUAAGCAGGGUCAGUUCUGGGUAGUAUUCGGGAGACCAUCUGGGGAUAUAAGGUGCUAUAGGCU